This is a long non-coding RNA of Astatotilapia calliptera (eastern happy), 1020 nucleotides long. NCBI's taxonomy places the organism in Eukaryota, Metazoa, Chordata, Actinopteri, Cichliformes, Cichlidae. The record is from Ensembl.
AAUGAUUUUAGUUUUUUAAAUUUAUUUUGUAACAGUAACUACAUUUAAAAAAAAGCUGAAAUUCAGCAUUUUUUAAAACUCUUUGGAUUAAAUGUUUCCCAGACAUUAAAAAAAAUCUCUCCACCAGACAAAAUGGAAAUACUUUCAGUGUGGAUUACGUGUCAUCCUAAUGGUGCCGAACCACGAGGAGAGAAGUGCUGAAAUAUUAAAAGUGUAACUGGUGGUUAAUAUGGCUCAAAAGGUCACACAUAUGAUUUCAACGCGUAAUAUAUUAAACAGAGCCACAUAUGGCUUCAAGUGAAAUACACGAAAUUCUCAUUAUUGUCAGAGGGGUGCAAACUUGGUAUCAUACGUCAAACGUGCACUGAGUCCUUAACAAAUAAAUAUUUCUGUCUGUUACGAGUGCAAAAAAUAAAAAUAAAAAAUGCAUUAAAAAAAUAACCAAAACUAAUAUUUCACAGCCUUCCUUUGAUUCCCAGUUUUCUUUUAAUUUUUUUGAGGAAGGCCUCUAUAUUGCAUAAAAUCUCCAGAAACAGUUAAAUUUUUCCCCCACACUGCUGUCAAAUUCAAACUUUCUAGCUCACAAUAUUUGUGCAUGGUUUACUCCAUAAAAUGUAAAACAUCAGCCAAAAUGACUCAUGGAUAUAAACUACUGUGUUACCCACAUGCUAUCCAGCUGAAUCACAGCAAAGUGAGGAUCAAGUGUUACUAAAAACAAGUACAAAACAAUGCAAAGCACAAGAAACCUCCUCGAUUGUGCCACUUAAAAACAUUUACACAGCGAGUAAGCUUUUAAUGCUCGUUUCUGUUUUACUUACUCAGUUUUGAAGGGGGAAAUAGCGGGAACAGCUGACAUUUGACAUUACAUGCAAAACCAUGAUCAAACCCAAUAGUUAAUGGCCUCAAACACACCUUUUGAUCACAAACAGCUUACAAAUUUAAUGACUUCAUGGUGAACUGAGCCAAUUUCUCUCCAUUCUUGCAGUAUUCUCACCACAGGCGACGCAGAAUAUCAAAAAC